AUAUCACUUUGAAAAAAAGUAUUUUAAUACAAAGGGCAAUAGAUUAAUUAAAAAUGCUAUUCCAACAUUAAAUUUGCCACAACCAUUGGAUGACAGUCUUUUGGUAGAUUUUCCUUUAUAUGGUGAAGAAAGAAAAAGAAAAAUCUUAAGUCUUGAAAGUUUUCAAGAUAUAACAAAUUCAGAGAAUGUGCAAUGGAAUGAAAAUAUUUUAUCUAAAAUAUUUGAUAGCCUAGGCUAUAUAUUAUCACGCAAAGACCAAUAAGAGUGGACCAC
This 273-nucleotide unclassified non-coding RNA is filed under the name Melitaea cinxia (Glanville fritillary). RNAcentral's name for it is "misc RNA ENSMCXG00005010323.1". Lineage: Eukaryota; Metazoa; Arthropoda; Insecta; Lepidoptera; Nymphalidae. The record is from RNAcentral.